This is a long non-coding RNA of Vanessa atalanta (red admiral), 784 nucleotides long. RefSeq lists it as uncharacterized. Lineage: Eukaryota; Metazoa; Arthropoda; Insecta; Lepidoptera; Nymphalidae. The record is from RefSeq and is a predicted model, not a curated record. The transcript has 6 exons.
CGUGAUGGUGAAAUUAAAACAUCUUAUAAAACUGCUUUCAAAACAAAACCAAAGUGCCUUAGAAUUCGGCCCCCUCCACUAAAAUAUAUUCACACUCUAUCAGAGUGGAAACAACCUGGUAUUCCACUAGAAAUAUAUCUUAAACCAAAGGAAAUUAUCCGGACCAAUCCACGUAACACUCAAAAGUACUAUGAAAAGCCUCCAGAUCCGGAUUGGGAGAAUGCAAUGAAGAUACGACCUCGCCUUGUCAUGACGCCGGCUAUUAGUAUGGAUGACAUAUCACCACCAGAGAAGCGAAAACUUUUGAUUGAUGAUGUGUAUGCCAGCUCAGCUCACAGGUCAAUGCGAGAAGGACUCCCCGUGUCCUCUGGAGUCUGCAUAUCAGCGCCCUUAUCUUGCACACCCGCUGCAGCUACUCCAAUAACGCUUCAGAAGUUAGAAGCUCCGUUCGUUUCCCCUGAAUGGCGUAUGGAUUCAGUUUCGUGGGAUGGACGACAACUGCGCUCUCAUUGCGACCCGGAUAAGGAAUUUUACGUCGCUAGAUCCCCUAAGUAGUACAAAAUUGAGAAAUAUUCUGAGAAAUUGUUUGAAUGAAUCCCUGCAUAUAGAUUUCGGACAUCUCGUCAGAACUCCCAACUUCAACCACACUACCUCGAUGUUCGGAUCCACAACAGCGCGGUUUUUAAGGCAUUUUCUCCCUCUCACAAAUACUCUAUGGAACCAGCCUUUGCCGGCGGCGGAGAUGUGCAAGAAUGACAUCACGACACUCGCAUUCGCAUGCAGA